RNAcentral lists this ribosomal RNA (520 nucleotides) under uncultured Glomus. RNAcentral describes it as "SSU rRNA". It matches the Rfam family "Eukaryotic small subunit ribosomal RNA", at positions 569 to 1091 of the family's 1831-position model. The record is from RNAcentral. Lineage: Eukaryota; Fungi; Glomeromycota; Glomeromycetes; Glomerales; Glomeraceae.
AGCAGCCGCGGUAAUUCCAGCUCCAAUAGCGUAUAUUAAAGUUGUUGCAGUUAAAAAGCUCGUAGUUGAAUUUCGGGACCAAUCUGCCGGUCGUGCCUCCGGUACGCACUGGUUUUAUUGGUUUCUCCCUUCUGACGAACCAUGAUGUCAUUAAUUUGGUGUCAUGGGGAAUCAGGACUGUUACUUUGAAAAAAUUAGAGUGUUUAAAGCAGGCUCACGCUUGAAUACAUUAGCAUGGAAUAAUGAAAUAGGACGUUUGAUUCUAUUUUGUUGGUUUCUAGGAUCGACGUAAUGAUUAAUAGGGAUAGUUGGGGGCAUUAGUAUUCAAUUGUCAGAGGUGAAAUUCUUGGAUUUAUUGAAGACUAACUACUGCGAAAGCAUUUGCCAAGGAUGUUUUCAUUAAUCAAGAACGAAAGUUAGGGGAUCGAAGACGAUCAGAUACCGUCGUAGUCUUAACCAUAAACUAUGCCGACUAGGGAUCGGAUGAUGUUAUUUUUUAAUGACUCAUUCGGCACCUUAC